Molecule: ribosomal RNA, 301 nt
Filed under: uncultured bacterium
Lineage: Bacteria
Description: partial 16S ribosomal RNA
Rfam family: Bacterial small subunit ribosomal RNA
Source: RNAcentral
CAGCCGCCGCGGUAAUACGAAGGGUGCAAGCGUUACCCGGAAUCACUGGGCGUAAAGCGUGCGUAGGUGGUGGUUUAAGUCCGCUGUGAAAGCCCUGGGCUCAACCUGGGAAUUGCAGUGGAUACUGGGUCACUAGAGUGUGGUAGAGGAUAGUGGAAUUUCCGGUGUAGCAGUGAAAUGCGUAGAGAUCGGAAGGAACAUCUGUGGCGAAGGCGACUAUCUGGGCCAACACUGACACUGAGGCACGAAAGCGUGGGGAGCAAACAGGAUUAGAUACCCGGGUAGUCCCUGUCUCUUAUAC